AAAUAGGGAAAACCAUUUUUUUAGUAUAGUUUUCUUCAGUUUUUAAUUUGGUACUUGUGCUUAUUUUUCUUUUUAUUCCCUCCUUUAAGUUUCCUCCAUUAAACAUGUUACUCCUUACACUUUCUGAAAUCCCUUGAGGGACUUACGGAACACAAAAGGUGUUAUCAUUGGACUCUGAAACUUAGGAACUUCGAAGGCAUCCUGAUGAGAUUUGGGAUUGUUGUUCAUCAGUUCAGAGAGCUUCGCCUUAAUCUUCAUUCAACAUAAAGCAAAAGGGUGAUUAGGGAUCUCAUUUCACCCACGAGAGUGGAUUCAAAAAUUAGGGAUUCGAGUUUUGCAGAAAGCGAUUGGGUGAUUCAGCCUCGUCUUUCAGUGAUGGGGCGAUUUGACUUUGUCUUCAUGCAACAGAAUUGCGAUGGGAGGUUGUGCGCACGUAGAAGCCCAAGCUUUUAUUCUAAAAUGAUGCAAGACUUAGUGGCAGCAAUAUGGCUUAGUGGAAGCACUGAUUCUUGAAAAGCACCAAGAAGAGAAUGAUAGCAUGAAGGAAAACAGAGAAUUUGAUACAAGAGAAUGAGAUCAUGAAGGAAGAGAAAAACACUUGAAAGAAGACAAAGCGCACUUGAAAGAAGAGAAUGAGGGCAUGGUGAGAGAGAUUGAGAGGUUGAAGAUAAAGUCGUAGAGCUUAAAGAUUGUGUUCUUUAUUAGUGGCUAUCAUGUAUCUUUUGUUGUACUAAAAGUAGUGGAAUGUAAAGUGGGUAGAUAGGCCACUGUUAAUGUAAUUUAUGUAACCAUCAUUAUGAAAUAAAGAUGAGUUUUGUUGCUAA
Molecule: long non-coding RNA, 824 nt
Organism: Prosopis cineraria
Lineage: Eukaryota; Viridiplantae; Streptophyta; Magnoliopsida; Fabales; Fabaceae
Exons: 2
Source: RefSeq, a predicted model, not a curated record